AGUCGAGCGCCCCGCAAGGGGAGCGGCAGACGGGAGAGUAACACGUGGGAACGUACCCUUCAGUUCGGAACAACCCAGGGAAACUUGGGCUAAUACCGGAUACGUCCGUAAGGAGAAAGAUUUAUCGCUGAAGGAUCGGCCCGCGUCUGAUUAGCUAGUUGGUGAGGUAACGGCUCACCAAGGCGACGAUCAGUAGCUGGUCUGAGAGGAUGAUCAGCCUCAUUGGGACUGAGACACGGCCCAAACUCCUACGGGAGGCAGCAGUGGGGAAUAUUGGACAAUGGGCGCAAGCCUGAUCCAGCCAUGCCGCGUGGGUGAUGAAGGCCCUAGGGUUGUAAAGCCCUUUCGGCGGGGAAGAUAAUGACGGUACCCGCAGAAGAAGCCCCGGCUAACUUCGUGCCAGCAGCCGCGGUAAUACGAAGGGGGCUAGCGUUGCUCGGAAUCACUGGGCGUAAAGCGCACGUAGGCGGCUUUUUAAGUCAGGGGUGAAAUCCUGGAGCUCAACUCCAGAACUGCCUUUGAUACUGAAGAGCUUGAGUCCGGGAGAGGUGAGUGGAACUGCGAGUGUAGAGGUGAAAUUCGUAGAUAUUCGCAAGAACACCAGUGGCGAAGGCGGCUCACUGGCCCGGUACUGACGCUGAGGUGCGAAAGCGUGGGGAGCAAACAGGAUUAGAUACCCUGGUAGUCCACGCCGUAAACGAUGGAUGCUAGCCGUUGGUGGGUUUACUCAUCAGUGGCGCAGCUAACGCAUUAAGCAUCCCGCCUGGGGAGUACGGUCGCAAGAUUAAAACUCAAAGGAAUUGA
RNAcentral lists this ribosomal RNA (804 nucleotides) under uncultured microorganism. Its description in RNAcentral is "bacterial SSU rRNA". It matches the Rfam family "Bacterial small subunit ribosomal RNA", at positions 60 to 913 of the family's 1533-position model. The record is from RNAcentral.